RNAcentral lists this transfer RNA (72 nucleotides) under Coregonus autumnalis (Arctic cisco). RNAcentral describes it as "tRNA-Val". It matches the Rfam family "tRNA". Rfam says of the family: Transfer RNA (tRNA) molecules are approximately 80 nucleotides in length. Their secondary structure includes four short double-helical elements and three loops (D, anti-codon, and T loops). The record is from RNAcentral. Lineage: Eukaryota; Metazoa; Chordata; Actinopteri; Salmoniformes; Salmonidae. RNAcentral also lists the same sequence under 15 other names.
CAGAGUGUAGCUAAGACAGAAGAGCACCUCCCUUACACCGAGAAGACAUCCGUGCAAAUCGGGUCACCCUGA